CCUACGGGUGGCUGCAGUAGGGAAUCUUGGUCAAUGGACGAAAGUCUGAACCAGCAAAGUAGCGUGGGUGAUGACUGCCCUAUGAGUUGUAAACUUCUUUUAUAUAGGAGUAAGCUGUUGCGAGUAUGUGAUUUUGUAUGUACCGUAUGUAUCAGGAUCGCCUCACUCCGUUCCGGCAGCCGCGGUAAUCCGGUGGGUCCGUGCGUUAUCCGGAUUUAUUGGGUUGAAAGGGAACGUAGGGGGUUUUUUAAGUCUGUUGUGAAAGUCUUCGGCUCAACCGGACAAGUGCAGUUGAAACUGGGAGACUUGAGUGCAGAAGAGGUGAGUGGAACUCGAUGUGUAGCGGUGAAAUGCGUAGAUAUAUCGAAGAACACCGGUGGCGAAGGCAGCUCUCUGGACUGUAACUGACGCUGAGGUUCGAAAGCGUGGGUAGCAAACAGGAUUAGAUACCCUAGUAGUC
Molecule: ribosomal RNA, 460 nt
Filed under: uncultured bacterium
Lineage: Bacteria
Description: partial 16S ribosomal RNA
Rfam family: Bacterial small subunit ribosomal RNA
Source: RNAcentral